ACAAGUUAAUAAACUUGUAUACAUUUCUGCAAUGUUUCCACACAGAUUGCACUUAAAAACAAGUAUACAUUGGCUUGCCUCCAUAUGAUUUACUAUGCCCAAAUACUUUAAAAGUCAAAUAGAGAAUAUACUAAUCUGUUGUGUGUGUUUUUAAUCUAGAAUAGCUUGGGGCCAGGCAAAAACUCAAAAUUCCAGCUUUUCAAGUCAAUGGAUGUCUAUGGAGAGGGGGAUCUGCUAUUUAAAGAUUUCACUUCAUGUCUCCUUCCUGUUGGCCAACGCAGUGUACAAGACAUACUAGGAGAAAACUUCAUGGAUCUUGCAGACUCAGUGUUUUCCUGCACACAAGCGGGUAUUUGAUCUUUUACUUAUGUCUUAAAAUGUAUUGCUUAUCUUAAUGUCUAGGUAUAACAUCUAUAUACCGUAUAUACUCGAGUAUAAGUCGAGUUUUUCAGCACAUUUUUUGUGCUGAAAACCCCCCACUCGACUUAUACUCGUGUCAAUGUCUGUAUUAUGGCAACUUACAUUGCCAUAAUACAGACUAGGACCGCUGGGCUUAUUACAAGCCCGGCGGUCCUGUUGGGGGGCUGGCAGCGAACUGUAACUUACCUUUCCUGCAGCUCCUGUCAGCUCCCUUCUCUCUCCUCCAGUCCGGUCAGCUCCCCUGUCAGCUCCCACUGUAAGUCUCGCGAGAGCCGCGGGAUCAGAGCGUUGCCACGGGUUACUGUGGUAACGCUCUGCGCGGCACUCAGACCACGAGACUUGCAGAGGUUGCUGACAGGGGAGCUGACCGGACUGGAGGAGAGAGAAGGGAGCUGACAGGAGCUGCAGGAAAGGUAAGUUACAGCUCGCUGCCAGCCCCCCUCCUACACAGCCCAUCCACUGGACCACCAGGGAAUGAGAGCUCCCCUCCCUGGCCAGCUAACAAGCAGGGAGGGGGGACGAAUAAAAAGAAAUACAAAUUAAAAUAAUAAUAAAAUAUUAAUAAUAUUAAAAUAAUAAUAAUAAUAAUAAAAAAAUAUUAAUAAUAUAACAAAAAAAGUUAAAAUAAUAAUAAUUUUAAAAAAAUGCCCACCCCCUCACAUACACAAACACACUCUGCAUCACACACACACACACUGCAUUCAUACACACACUGCAUUCAUACACACACACACAAUGCACUCAUACACACACUGCACUCGUACACACACACACUGCAUUCGUACACACACACACACUGUAUUCAUACACACACACACACUGCACUCAUACACACACUGCAUUCAUACACACACUGCAUUCAUACACACACUGCAUUCAUACACACACACUGCAUUCAUCAUAUACACACACACACACACUGCAUUCAUUAUAUACACACACUGUAAAUAAAUAUUCAAUUAAUAUAAUUUUGGGGGGGUAUAAUUUUAUUUAGAAAUUUACCAGUAGCUGCUGCAUUUCCCACCCUAGUCUUAUACUCGAGUCAAUAAGUUUUCCCAGUUUUUUGCGGUAAAAUUAGGGGUCUCGACUUAUAUUCGGGUUGACUUAUACUCGAGUAUGUACAGUAUUCUAAAUCUGACAAGUCUUCUACAUUCUUAAAAUGAGAUAUAAAUGUUUUUCUUUAUAAUAAGUUAUGCAUUCACUCUUAGGCAGCUGUAGGAGAUACACUGCUACUUUAAUCCGAUGCAUAUAUUUAUUUAUAGGAUAACUAAUUAAGUACAUUGUUCAUGGGUUUUUAAAGAGAUCUGCAGAGGCAGGUUUAUAACAAUCUGUGCAUGUUCAGAGUAUACUUAUAUCAUCACACUUGUUUUGUAAGCUACCUAUGCAGACAAAGCAUGUAACAAACACAAACAUCUUAAUUCAUUUUAUAAAUACUACUGAGUUUCAGUGAAGGGUACAAUGUAUUCUUCGUUUAAAGGGACAUUAUAGAGACACUAUGACCAUUUAAUCUCAUUGAAUUAUGUAUAGUGUCAGGAUUACAGAAUGAUCCAGCACGUAGAAUUGUGUAACACCUUAGAAUGGCCGGGCUAACGUAUCAAAGAAUAGUCAGGAAUAGCCGAGGUCAAGGGAUACAGAAAGAGACACAACGAUAAGGAAAAGCCAGGAGUCAGGGAUGCCAGAAAACAGGGAAGUCAAAAACAAUGCCAAAGUCAAAUAACCAGAAUGACCAGAAUCAAUAACCCUCUCUUGGACAACCACAAGGGAAACCACGACAGGGCACUGAGCAGGAUGAGAACUGGGCCUAAAUACCCCUCUAUUAACAGUUUGAUUGAUACGCUUAUAUGAAGAAGUGGGUUUUUAACGAUUUUUUGAAGGAGUGGAGACUGGGUGAGCAUCUAACGGAGGAGGGAAGUGAGUUCCACAGGAACGGUGCAGCCCUCGAGAUAUAGCUAACACUAAACAGAAUGACAGUGCCAGGGGACUUCAUAUAAUAAAACCACUUCAAUUAGAUGAGGCAGUUAUAGUGCCUACAGUGUCCCUUUAAGUGUAUGAUGGCCAACAGUUUACUAACUUAAUCUGUUUCGGAGUGAAUGGCACAAUACAGAAAAUAUAAGCACUGUGCAUAGGGGAAAUCUGAUGUUUACUAUUAGGGAAAUGUUGCAAGAAAUAUUUAGGUAUCUCAUUUUAAUAGAUUUGUUAGAUUAACACAUUUUUAUGUAGACACAACUGUGUGUUUAUCCAAUAAAUCAGAGUAACUGAACGAUUCAUUUAAGUUAGUCUGAUGUUCAUAAGUAAAUGAGAUCAAUGUUUUGUUUUUUUCCAGGUAUUUUAGACUUUUGCAACACAGACAUUUGCGCGGACACCAAGAACUGAACUGAAACAGAGAUUCACAGAGACAGACUGUUUAAAACAAGCAUUCAUACUAUCAAUGACGUGCAAUCCAGUGUUGUAAUACAUCAUUCUACAUCAGGUUAUUUUGCAUGGAGUGAUCUUUCAAAAAGGUAAAGGUUUCUUGGUUGGAUAGUUAUGUUUCCAUUAUUUCUGGAAGGAUCUGAAACAUUUUAUCCAACUCUGUGUAGGUUCAAGUGCUGUAUGGUAUACUGUUAUUUUUGUUAGUUUUGUUAGAGACCAGCUUUACAAAAAAUAUAAUCCUUUCACAUAAAAGAACACUAUAUUUAAAAAUAUUCUGACCAGCUAGGUCAUUUAUAAAACGCAUGGAUGAACAGGUUGCUUUCAGGCAGGUACAGAUUGAAUCUAUAUUAUAUAAUUAAAUCACAACUAAAUAUAGUAAAAUAUAUUUCACAAUCCUCAUCCCAGAAAAUUGGUGAGCAUCUAAAAGUGCACUUGACAAAUAAAAUUCUAUAUCCGAAUUCUGAAAGUACCAAAUACAUAAAAAGUGCAAUGUGAAAUGUUAAACAGUGCAAUAUUAAGUGUUCUGACAUGUAGGAACCUUAAUACCUUGCAUCCAAAAGGUUAAUGUAAAAACUGUAAGUAUAUGGUUGCAAAAAAUAUAUUUACCUGCUCAUACCUCCUGUAUGGCUGCCACAAUGAACGGGGCACAUUUCAUGCCCACAAAUGGUACUGGUUGCAUCCCACAUCUGGUAUGUAAAUGCACUCUACAUAUAGUAGUGCGCCACUUUGACUUUUUUUACUUUGCAGAAACAGAUAUAGCAUAACCAGAGAUAUAUGUGUUCUAGAUCUGCCCUAGCAUUCAUUUUGCAAAUAUCCAGUCUCACAAAUGUGCCUUAGUCCGUUCAUUGGGGUAUCACAUUCUGGAAGUUGCAACAAUCCUCUUAGGUUUCCGGGGUGAACAGUGAUGGACUAUUGGUAUGAUGGGUAUAUGAUGGGUAUAUGUGUAUAUAGGCCUUGUUUUUCCACAGUAUUUGUUUCACUAGGGGUUUAGAUACUUCUAUGAUACAGUGGUGUUUUUAUUGUAAUAUGAGCUCGAUUUCAUAUGAGACAUUUUAUUGAUGUCUCCAUAACAGAGUGACAUUGGGACACAAAUGUAAUAAAACAUGUAUUUAUUCUGCAUAACUUUUUGAGUGGUGCAUUUUAUUUAUGAAUUUCUGUCACUAUAACUUGUUUAUUUUCCAUCAUUUUAAAAUCACCAUGAUGUAUAACUGUGAAGCCAUGUAGUAAUUCCUCUAACAGUCACAUCUAAUGGCCUUCAAGACUGAACAAUUACUAGCCCCUUCCUCUAACAUG
Molecule: non-coding RNA, 4125 nt
Organism: Pelobates cultripes (western spadefoot toad)
Lineage: Eukaryota; Metazoa; Chordata; Amphibia; Anura; Pelobatidae
Source: the annotation of a GenBank genome assembly